CCUACGGGUGGCAGCAGUGGGGAAUAUUGGGCAAUGGGCGCAAGCCUGACCCAGCAACGCCGCGUGAAGGAAGAAGGCUUUCGGGUUGUAAACUUCUUUUAAGAGGGAAGAGCAGAAGACGGUACCUCUUGAAUAAGCCACGGCUAACUACGUGCCAGCAGCCGCGGCAAUACGUAGGUGGCCAGCGUUGUCCGGAUUUAGUGGGUGUAAAGGGCGUGUAGCCGGGCUGACAAGUCAGCUGUGAAAUCCCGUGGCUCAAACACGGAACUGCAUUGGAAACUGUCGGUCUUGAGUAUCGGAGAGGCAGGCGGAAUUCGUAGUGUAGCGGUGAAAUGCGUAGAUAUUAGGAGGAACACCAGUGGCGAAGGCGGCCUGCUGGACGACAACUGACGGUGAGGCGCGAAAGCGUGGGGAGCAAACAGGAUUAGAUACCCCUGUAGUC
Molecule: ribosomal RNA, 442 nt
Filed under: uncultured bacterium
Lineage: Bacteria
Description: partial 16S ribosomal RNA
Rfam family: Bacterial small subunit ribosomal RNA
Source: RNAcentral